Molecule: long non-coding RNA, 3906 nt
Organism: Varanus komodoensis (Komodo dragon)
Lineage: Eukaryota; Metazoa; Chordata; Lepidosauria; Squamata; Varanidae
Exons: 2
Source: RefSeq, a predicted model, not a curated record
AUGAAAUUUUUGUUCACGACCCGAUUUGGUUGUGAACUGAGGCACCACUGUAGUACUUCAGCAGUAAAGAGACCAUUCAAAUAGUCACUCCCCAAAAAAAGUCUUUGCAGAGGUUUCUGUGGAGCAUUGGCAGUGAUGUAAUUCCUUUCAUCAUACAUCUGUGCAAGGGUUCCCUUGUUCACAUCCAACAUUUGAUAUCUUCAAGAUUCAGUGAUGACUCACAUGUAUUAGUGGGGACACCACAGGUGGUGCUCAGGCACAAUGCUUUUCCAAUAUAUUCUCUGUGUUGCUGGAAUGCAACUCAGCCCUCAAGUGAAGCCAGGUAAAGGGAUAUGCAAGCAAAGCCUCCCAAGUUUUAUCCCAGUGCUUUUAAGAACAAGGACUCUUCCUCUUUUGUGGUUCAUUGAUUGGAAUGUUUUUGACAGGGCUACAAGCCUAACACUACAGGGCCUCCACUACGGGAAUGGCUAUGUUUUUCUACAGAGAAAUUUCCUGUCGUAUUGAAUUUACAGACUUAUUGGAGCUGGAAGGCUUUCCUAAGGAGCAGGCAACCAGCUGUUUGGAGUGACUCUUUUUGAGACUGUUACUUCUUUGCUUUAGCAAGGCAGAAGUGAGGAAUGCUUGUCCUGUCAAUCAAUCCUUAGAGGCUGCUGUGUGGCUCCAAGCUAUCUUACAACUUCUCAUUGUUGGAGGGGAGUGCUGAGGAGUUUACUGCCAUCUAUUGCCACUAAAAUACUGGGGUGGGGGAAAUAAAAAAAAUCCACAUUAUAGUGAUGGCUUUGUUUGGCUAACAAAAGGGUUGCAUCAAAUGUGCAAGCUCUGAACAACUACAUCUCUUCAUUAGGUAAGACGUUACAAAAAGCAGAUGGGGAGGAAGUGGGGUGGGAAGAUGACUUGAUGUUGAAGUCAUGGAGUUUUCAUGAGCACAAACUGGAGAUGGGAUAGGGAGGAAGCUUCUCUAGACAUUCAAGUAAGGCUCUAACAGGUGAUGUGACAGUUUCAGGUUUCAUCUGGGACUGCUUCUUGAACUGUUGGGGAUAAGAAAGGCAGAUAAACAUGACAUCCCCCCAUUUUGGAAAUAUGGAGGUGUUACGAAGACAUGUCUCCAUCUUGAUUGUAGCCCACAGGGUUUCUUUAUAGUGGAAAAUAGAACAAUACUAGUUAGUUGUUAUAUUAGCAAACCUACAGAUGAUUUUGCAUAUACUGCAUCAGGUAAAAUAAUUGAAGAAAUGCUUUAGUCUUCAGCUUCUUCAUAUUUGGCAACUAGAUAAGUUCAGAUUACCUGUAACCAGCUUAAUUUAUGAAGUGGAACUUUUGGAUCUGGUGAGUAAUUUCUUGUAUGGGGAAAAUCAGUGGACAAUACAGGGAGUUGUGGAACUCAAAGUUUCAUCUGUUUAAGAGCAGUUGUUGAUUCCAUAUCAUCAGUAUAAAAUCAAGCACUUUACCAAUUAAUUAAAACCUUUAUAUUUUUCACCAAUAAAAGCUACUUGAAUGCUGCUAACCUGAGCUUGACAUGAAAGCUACCAAGAUGCCAGUAGAUGGACAGUCUAAAAGCAUUAAAUAAACCUGAAUCCAGUGACCAAUUCAUAUGAUAAGGUAUUUCUAACCACUGUUGGAAUUCCAAUUUAGAAAUGAUCUUUAAUUCCAUCAAUAUAGAAAUGAAAUGGAGAUGGGCUGGUAUGAAAGGUUUCAGGUUUCUGGUAUCUAAUUAUGGCAGAUACCUUUUAGGCUGUUUGCAUCUUGCUAAACUUACCUUAAAAAUGAAUCAAUUUUGCACUUAUCAAAGAGAUUUUCAGAAGAGCUAACUAAACAAGCAUUUUCCAGAACUUCAAAUUUUGUCAUUCCAGUAUAGAACAUAAACUUUCAUAUUGAAAUUGAAAGGUUGAAUGUGAAAUUGUACCUCCAAAUUUAAAAUUUGAAAUUGUUUUGAUUUUGAUAGGUAUAACAUAUGUAAUCUUACAGGCUGUGAGUCAUCAAGCACAGUGAGAUACUGGAUCAAUUUCUUAACAAGAAAGGAUAAGGGCAAAUGAGGGAAAAUAUCCUGAAGCUGGACUCAGACAAAGUGGAAAAACCGUGGUUUGGGAAAUCUGUUAACUUGGAUGAAAGUUUGCCACUUGACUGGGAGGGAGCGGUACUUUUGCUGAUGGUCCACUCAUGUUGUCCUGGGGUUCUCACAUCUUUUGUUCAUGUGGGUAGUAACAACCAGAGAUCUUGUACUGCCUUCUUUUGCAAUUCUUAGACCAAUCUAUCUCACCAGUGUUCAAUGAUAUGAGUGCCUCUACUGAGCAAAGUUCACCCCUUUUUCCUGAUAGUUUACCCUGUAUGAUUAAAAAUGACAAAGAGAUUGUCCAUAUGUCCUGCUUUACAGAUGGUAGUUCUCUAUUUGAAGUUGCCCUCUUCUGUUUGAAGGACUAUCCAUUUCAAAUCUGUUUUGCAUCUGAUCAACCAAUGGAAGGAAAUGGCGGGGACCUGGAAUCUGGCAUCAAUGCCUACUGCCUGGGCAGCAGACCGAGAAGCCAUACAGGCAGAAAGUGGAGGAAAGCCCUUGUCUGGAAGCCUGCAAGUGCUGAUACGGCCCUUGCACACCUGUUGGGUUCAGAAUGUGGAACAGAAGGAUGCAUUUGGAACAAAGCUGCAUUUGUGGAGCCAAGUUCAUUGCAAGACCUCCCUUACCUUGAUACAGGUGCUCAGUGCCUGUUACCUGGUUUGAGAGAGUAAGGGCCCAACACCAAUUCUACUUUUCAGUUUCCCAAGGGCUUUAGGUGGGCCUCUGUUAAAAGCAUUAGUGUGAAGAGAGGACUGUUUCUAGCAGAGCUCUUCUCAUGUUGCUAUAUGCAUUUGAGACUAUAUGUGAUCCUUAAUCUAGUUUCAUGCUGUCCUAAUACAGAUCUACAGAGAUGGGGUGGCAGAAAGAAAAAGAAUGCAUGUGCCAAAAAGAAUGCAGCCUACUUUGGGUCUUUUUGCCAGCUGCCAGCUUUGAUCCUGGCCACUGCUGGCAUGUGGUCCCUGACAAAUGACCCCUGAAGAAAUGUAGCAAUGAACAGAAAAAAGAUCCCUUGCCCUGCAGUACUGGGUGGAGCUCUUUUUGAGGAAUGUUCCUCAUGGUGUUUUUGUCAUUCAGUUUAUUUGAAAAUCUAAACUACCCAUGGAGAUAGGGGAAGCUCGAGCAGCUGUGCAGGGAGAGCAGUGUCAAUUCCUCCAAAAGCAAGCAGCAUGCAUUACCAGUCUCCUUCAAGGGGCUUUAUAUCCUGCUAUAGCACCUAGCUUCUUGACUGGUCUUACUCAAAUCCUUCCAGUUCUUCCUCUGUUGGGUAUGUCCAGCAAGUAGCAAGAAUCAGAAUCUACUCAUGCUCAUGUAAAGAAGCACUUUUGUUUCCGUUCAGCACCCUUUAUAAAACAUCUUUAAGUACCAGCUCUAGAAAAGCCUAGAGGCAGCCCUCUUCUCACCUCCCACUGCACCUCCUACUCCCAUAAAAAUAUAAUGCACUCAGAUUAGUCAAUAAGGGCUAGUUGCUGCUGUUGUCAUUUUUUAACAAAAGCCUACAACAGUGUGAUAGCUGAGAGUUCAGGCAGGUACUAAGUGAAAACUGUCUUAACAAGCAGCUAUUCAGACCUUACAGAAGACAAUAUUUUAAUCAUAUUUUUAUUCAGCUUUACAGAACAGAAAUUUUGCUCUGAAUAAUAAUACAAUAAUCUCACUUUUUUUUCUCCUGUCCAUAGUGACCGUAAUUGUGAGACUCACUCCAGAGAUUUCACUAUGGAACUAUUGUUCAUCUGUCUGUUUUUGCUUAAUGCGUUUUGGUUCAAUUUUGUCUGUCAGUCCAUAAAUAACUAUAUGAUACUAGUGAUGCUCUUUCUGUUAAAUAUCUAGUUUGUAACAUAAAUAAAUUUUUGCCAAACUGAAAA